Molecule: unclassified non-coding RNA, 377 nt
Filed under: uncultured delta proteobacterium
Lineage: Bacteria; Deltaproteobacteria
Description: contains 16S-23S intergenic spacer region
Source: RNAcentral
UCUGCCUUAUCGGCAAGCGGUCCCAUCAGAGUGCCCAACUUAAUGCUGGCAACUGAUGGCGAGGGUUGCGCUCGUUGCGGGACUUAACCCAACAUCUCACGACACGAGCUGACGACAGCCAUGCAGCACCUGUCUCCGCGUCCCUUGCGGGAACUCCCACUUUCAUGGGAUAGCGCGGGAUGUCAAGCCCAGGUAAGGUUUUUCGCGUUGCGUCGAAUUAAACCACAUACUCCACCGCUUGUGCGGGCCCCCGUCAAUUUCUUUGAGUUUUAAUCUUGCGACCGUAAUCCUCAGGCGGAACACUUAACGCGUUAGCUACGGUACCGAGAGGGUAAGUCUCCCGACACCCAGUGUUCAUCGUUUACGGCGUGGACUAC